This is a non-coding RNA of Heligmosomoides polygyrus, 75 nucleotides long. NCBI's taxonomy places the organism in Eukaryota, Metazoa, Nematoda, Chromadorea, Rhabditida, Heligmosomidae. The record is from Rfam.
GCGCCGGUGGUGUAAUGGCGUAGAGCAUUCCCACCCGGUCAGAAGGAGGUGCGGGUUCGAGUCCCGCCUGGCGCU